This 484-nucleotide ribosomal RNA is filed under the name uncultured bacterium. RNAcentral's name for it is "partial 16S ribosomal RNA". It matches the Rfam family "Bacterial small subunit ribosomal RNA", at positions 29 to 507 of the family's 1533-position model. The record is from RNAcentral.
AUUGAACGCUGGCGGCAUGCUUUACACAUGCAAGUCGAACGGCAGCGCGGGCUUCGGCCUGGCGGCGAGUGGCGAACGGGUGAGUAAUACAUCGGAACGUGCCCAGUAGUGGGGGAUAGCUCGGCGAAAGCCGGAUUAAUACCGCAUACGACCUGAGGGUGGAAGCGGGGGAUCUUCGGACCUCGCGCUAUUGGAGCGGCCGAUGGCAGAUUAGCUAGUUGGUGGGGUAAAGGCCUACCAAGGCGACGAUCUGUAGCUGGUCUGAGAGGACGACCAGCCACACUGGAACUGAGACACGGCCCAGACUCCUACGGGAGGCAGCAGUGGGGAAUUUUGGACAAUGGGCGAAAGCCUGAUCCAGCAAUGCCGCGUGUGUGAUGAAGGCCUUCGGGCUGUAAAGCACUUUUGGCGGGAACGAAAAGGACUGUGCCAAUACCACGGUUCGAUGACGGUACCCGCAGAAUAAGCACCGGCUAACUACGUG